This 305-nucleotide ribosomal RNA is filed under the name uncultured bacterium. RNAcentral's name for it is "bacterial SSU rRNA". It matches the Rfam family "Bacterial small subunit ribosomal RNA", at positions 337 to 640 of the family's 1533-position model. The record is from RNAcentral.
GCCUACGGGGGGCAGCAGUGAGGAAUAUUGGUCAAUGGUCGGGAGGCUGAACCAGCCAAGCCGCGUGAGGGAGGAAGGUACAGAGUAUCGUAAACCUCUUUUGUCAGGGAACAAAGGCGGGGACGUGUCCCCGGAUGAGUGUACCUGAAGAAAAAGCAUCGGCUAACUCCGUGCCAGCAGCCGCGGUAAUACGGAGGAUGCGAGCGUUAUCCGGAUUUAUUGGGUUUAAAGGGUGCGCAGGCGGUCUGUUAAGUCAGUGGUCAAAGCCCGGGGCUCAACCCCGGCCCGCCGUUGAAACUGGCAGU